GGCCCCAUCGUCUAGCGGCCCAGGACAGUAGGUUUUCAGCCUACUAACACCGGUUCGAGUCCGGUUGGGGUCA
RNAcentral lists this transfer RNA (73 nucleotides) under Candidatus Roizmanbacteria bacterium RIFCSPLOWO2_01_FULL_40_13. Its description in RNAcentral is "tRNA-Glu". It matches the Rfam family "tRNA". From Rfam's summary of the family: Transfer RNA (tRNA) molecules are approximately 80 nucleotides in length. Their secondary structure includes four short double-helical elements and three loops (D, anti-codon, and T loops). Lineage: Bacteria; Candidatus Roizmaniibacteriota. The record is from RNAcentral.